Onychostoma macrolepis is the source of this 1585-nucleotide RNA transcript. It is a transcript of the gene named DnaJ (Hsp40) homolog, subfamily C, member 15, with no coding region annotated. The transcript is spliced from 7 exons. Lineage: Eukaryota; Metazoa; Chordata; Actinopteri; Cypriniformes; Cyprinidae. The record is from RefSeq and is a predicted model, not a curated record.
UUUUGGAGGUUUAAUUUAGUGCACAUGAAUCGGUGGGGUAUGAAACGCCUUGCUCUGUUUUGGAAUCGCGAGACCCCACAGCAGCGCGAAGAUUGUCCCUCUGGUUUCUCCGUAGGUGUGUGUCAUCAUCAGCAUGGCGAGCUCCAGUGGUGUAGUGAUGGAGGGGGACUUCAUGAGACAUGCUGAAUAUACACCGAAAUCUACCGGGCAGAGUGAGACAGAUAUUGACAAACGCUUUGGUGGCUGUCUGAUGGCAGUGGGGCUGGGAGUUGCAGCGGCAGGGUUUGCAGGUCGAUAUGCAUUCCACUUAUGGAGGCCUCUGAGUCAGGUGAUUACUGAAGCUGCUAAGAAUUUACCCUCUGCGUCAUUUUCUGCGUAUUACAAAGGUGGAUUUGAGCAGAAGAUGACCAGACGGGAAGCCAGCCUUAUUCUCGGGAUCAGUCCGACCAGCAGCAAGACAAAGGUACGGGAAGCCCACAGAAGGAUCAUGGUCCUAAAUCAUCCAGAUAAAGGUGGAUCCCCGUAUUUGGCAGCAAAGAUCAAUGAAGCAAAAGAUCUUCUUGACUCUGGCCCUCGGCACUGACCCAGCUGCCCGCGCUACCCCAACAGAGAGUUACAUCUACUUCAGAGCCGCCAACUCACCCAUGAGCCUCCACAAGUCAUUGUUCUCCUCCAUGUUUUUCUGCCAUAAAUCAGCUGACUCUCUCCGUUCUAUCUGUCACUGUUCCCCACCACCACUUUAAUGCAAGUUGGCAAAGGUUGAUCCUUCACGUUAAAGGAUCUUCACGCUGUCCAUGUGAAAAAUCUCGCAGUAAUCUUUAUUUAUUGAGGUGACUUGUAUAAUGUUUAACGUCUGCUGAAAAAUGGUGGAUUUAUAAUUUCCAGUGGUCUAAAAAUCCUAACCCGCAGGGACCAGACAAUAUGCCUGUCUGGUCUGCACAUCUGACGGAUCCACGCAGGAACAGAGAGGCUGGGAUUCGACAGAGGGACGUUCUGUACGCCAUGACUUGGACUGCUGAUUUGCCGUUUGUCAGACCGAGAUUAAUGCCAAGGACAGGACACUGCAACACAAGCUGCACAAACCAGUCACACAUUACUGCAAAAGGAAUAAAAGGCAAGCAACAGUGAAAGAAAUUGCUUCUAGGAUGCAUUUUAUAUUUCAUUUCCUUGAGAGCAAUUUCAAGCUACAUUCAGAAUAGAAUAUUAGCUUGUCCCUACUGCCUACUCUAAUUUAAAAAUAGCUAGUAAUGUGAAGGCAUUAAUCCACCAUAAACAUUUCAAACAGUGGUAUGCUUUGUUAUUGUCAUAUGACCUCAUUAUUUUAGAUGUGAGCGAUUUCCAGUCAUCAUAGACGACUAUAGAUAUGGUUAUAAUGAAUUUUUAAUGAGCAUAGUUACAGUGUAAUUAUACAUUUAAGUACUGUGUAAUAUUACUCAAAUAGAUGUACUUACUAUAUGGUCAGGGUUAGGAUUAAGGUGUUACUUGCAUGUAAUUAUGCAUAAUUUAUUGUUAUUAUAAUAGUAAGUACAUGUAACGUGUAACAAGGAUGGCUUAAAAUAAAGUGUUACCAAAAAACCUACUUGAA